This 469-nucleotide ribosomal RNA is filed under the name uncultured bacterium. Its description in RNAcentral is "partial 16S ribosomal RNA". It matches the Rfam family "Bacterial small subunit ribosomal RNA", at positions 28 to 507 of the family's 1533-position model. The record is from RNAcentral.
GAUGAACGCUGGCGGCGUGCUUAACACAUGCAAGUCGAACGGUGAACACGGAGCUUGCUCUGUGGGAUCAGUGGCGAACGGGUGAGUAACACGUGAGCAACCUGCCCCUGACUCUGGGAUAAGCGCUGGAAACGGCGUCUAAUACUGGAUAUGUGACGUGACCGCAUGGUCUGCGUUUGGAAAGAUUUUUCGGUUGGGGAUGGGCUCGCGGCCUAUCAGCUUGUUGGUGAGGUGAUGGCUCACCAAGGCGGCGACGGGUAGCCGGCCUGAGAGGGUGACCGGCCACACUGGGAUUGAGACACGGCCCAGACUCCUACGGGAGGCAGCAGUGGGGAAUAUUGCACAAUGGGCGAAAGCCUGAUGCAGCAACGCCGCGUGAUGGAUGACGGCCUUCGGGUUGUAAACCUUUUUUAGCAGGGAAGAAGCGAAAGUGACGGUACCUGCAGAAAAAGCGCCGGCUAACUACGUG